GGGCAAGUCCUGUACAACCAGCUCCCACUUACUCCCCCAGGUCCGGAAGGAAGCAAGGGUACGUGGUUGAGCGGUGUGAUAUAGGUCGCUUGCCCCUC
Molecule: signal recognition particle RNA, 98 nt
Filed under: Flavobacteriales bacterium
Lineage: Bacteria; Pseudomonadati; Bacteroidota; Flavobacteriia; Flavobacteriales
Description: signal recognition particle sRNA small type
Rfam family: Bacteroidales small SRP
About the family: The non-coding component of the signal recognition particle in Bacteroides
Source: RNAcentral